UUAAAUAUCAGAGUUUCUCUGUUUUACUCUUACAAAGUAGAGACGGCUAUAGAGCCUAUUUAAU
Molecule: transfer RNA, 64 nt
Filed under: Falcidens acutargatus
Lineage: Eukaryota; Metazoa; Mollusca; Caudofoveata; Chaetodermatida; Chaetodermatidae
Description: tRNA-Val
Source: RNAcentral